RNAcentral lists this ribosomal RNA (520 nucleotides) under uncultured bacterium. RNAcentral describes it as "bacterial SSU rRNA". It matches the Rfam family "Bacterial small subunit ribosomal RNA", at positions 120 to 674 of the family's 1533-position model. The record is from RNAcentral.
GGGAACAUACCCUUUUCUACGGAAUAGCUCUGGGAAACUAGAAUUAAUACCGUAUACGCCCUACGGGGGAAAGAUUUAUCGGGGAAGGAUUGGCCCGCGUUGGAUUAGCUAGUUGGUGGGGUAAAGGCCUACCAAGGCGACGAUCCAUAGCUGGUCUGAGAGGAUGAUCAGCCACAUUGGGACUGAGACACGGCCCAAACUCCUACGGGAGGCAGCAGUGGGGAAUAUUGGACAAUGGGCGCAAGCCUGAUCCAGCCAUGCCGCGUGAGUGAUGAAGGCCUUAGGGUUGUAAAGCUCUUUCACCGAUGAAGAUAAUGACGGUAGUCGGAGAAGAAGCCCCGGCUAACUUCGUGCCAGCAGCCGCGGUAAUACGAAGGGGGCUAGCGUUGUUCGGAAUUACUGGGCGUAAAGCGCACGUAGGCGGAUAUUUAAGUCAGGGGUGAAAUCCCAGAGCUCAACUCUGGAACUGCCUUUGAUACUGGGUAUCUUGAGUAUGGAAGAGGUAAGUGGAAUUGCGAGU